This is a long non-coding RNA of Astatotilapia calliptera (eastern happy), 3026 nucleotides long. NCBI's taxonomy places the organism in Eukaryota, Metazoa, Chordata, Actinopteri, Cichliformes, Cichlidae. The record is from Ensembl.
UAAUUAGUUCCUUUGUUCAAAUUGUUAUUACCAAAGGUUGUUUCUUUAAGUCUAAAAUUUAAUUGCCUAAUUGUAAUUCCAACUCUCAGGUUUCCCCUGGCAGGAGUUUCAUCAACAUACCAAUUUGGUGCAGCUGGCUGAUUGAAAAACGACCUGCACAAGAUAAGCUCCUUUUUUUGGAGGGGGGGCUGAGCCUUGGUGUUCCUGACAUCUAUGCCUCUUUAAAUCCUUCGAUUAGAGGAUCCUUUCUCUCUGAGCUGCAUCACUGCUUCACCCGACCAGCAAUCCCACAAUCCCUCUGUUCCCUCCCACUGAACUGGUUUCUCUCUGUCCUCGUUUCAGCUCCUCAUCUGUCUCUUUUCCUCCUAUGAAUGCAUGCAUUAAGCAGCUAGAAAUGUACAAAAAGUAUAUGAAAUAUGUCAGUGUUCUUUUGAUAAGUCUAAGUGCUUAGACACAAAAACAAAAAAAUUAUGCCUGCAAAUUUAUGUGUCAAAACUAACAGUUUAGAAAUGACAGAUUUAAUUUUUAAAAAAUGACCUAAAUUAUUUAAUUAUAUUUGUAAACAGUAGCAAUUUUUAACCAUAAUGUGCUUUAUUUAAAUGACAGACUUCUGACUUAAAGUCGUUGGGAUGAAUUUUCAUUGCUAUUAUACUUACGUGGACAUAUAAAGCGGUUCAGAAGGGUAGGUUGAAGAUACAUGGUUUGCUCAGACUCCCCAGAUCCCCAAAUGAGCUAUGUGUAAACAUCAACAUCCACUCUUGUCCACAGAGUGCUACCCCGAAACAUCUUUGUCUUGGUGAACUGCUCCCUCAUCUCAAAGUCAUUGGAUGUUUUUCAACGAGGUAUUUGGUUGGAUGCCUGAAAUAAGUUUCAGUUAUGUCCAUUUAGUUUUGUUUUGUUUUUCAACAACAUAUGUAAGAACAUUGGCCAUGCCCUAAAAAAGUGCUAACAAUUGGCUAAGUGCAACUACAUUUCGUCAUAAGAUCCAAAGUAAUGCUCAAUUACAGUUUUCCCAACAAAAGAAAUUAUCCUCAGAGCAAUCCACUGGGAAACUUUAUUGGGUAAGCCGGGGUUAUGAACAGAGAAUUAGCAUUUAUUAUUAUCAGAAUACUUUUAGGGUUGCACUGAUAUGUAAGGCAGAGGAAACGCAAAAAGAAGAAAAGCAACCAUAAAUCACUUUUUACAACUCACUGAUUGUAUUCCUUUUUGUAAUUUUGGUAAUUGUAACUUUCAAGUUAACACAUUAUUCAAAUUUUUUAACCAACCUUUACCCCUCCUUUGGAGGCAUUUUAAAAGGUUGGGUUUAAACAACACCCUCACAAUGUUAAAUAUAUUGAAAAGCUAACUUUUGCCCUUUCUGAGUCUGAGGAACUCCCACUGAUUCCAAUAUAUUACUCAGCAUGUUGAAAAUUUUAAACAAAUGGCUAACCACUAUAUUCCAUUAUGAAAUACGCAUCAUUUCCUGAAGAUUUUACGUGGACUUAUGCAUCCUCCCAAUAUAAAUCUUCCAAUUAUAGCUAGACAUUUUUUAAAUUCCACAAAUGUAGCUAUAUCUCAUCCAUCUAGCCAUCUAUCUGUCUUUUGCUUAUUCAGUUCAGACCUUAGAAUCUUGAAAAAUGAAGGCAAUUGGACUUCUUUAAGUUGCAUUCUUUAUUUAAGCUCAUAAGAUUAGCAUUACUUGGAUGAUCGAGAACCUAAACACACAUUUCCAGGUCAGUGUCAUGGUCUAGCUUGGGCCUAUUCUGAUACCAUCUGUCUUUAUUUCCCAGUGAACAACAUUAAAAGAUGAACUGAAGAAUAAUAAAACUUGCCCCUACUUUAUUACCCAAUGAAAUCAGCUGUUUCAUUCAGUCCCAUUGCUCACAUAUGUAUAAAAGCAAGCACCUAGCCAUGCAGUCUGCCUUUAAAAACAUUCGUCAGUUGUUCUGAAGGGUUCACUGAACUUGAGCGUGGUAAUUUAGCAGGAUAUCACUGUUGCAACAACUUCAUGAAAUUUCUUAAAACUCUUAGUUAUUCCACAACAGCGUCUGGACCAAUAAAGUUACAUGUCCACUAAGCCUCUUCUGCUACAGUAUUGGACUCCUGAUUUAUCUUCCUCAAAUGACCAACUAAGACCAAACAGAGUAUCUUAAUAAAGGUAAGCCUGGAUGUUAUUAACAUUGCUAGAAAGAUACAAAAGGAGAUGGGCCAAUUGUUUCCAAUUGUUUCCAUUUUCUCCAGAGUUCUCAAUUCAUGAGAUGUAAGUCUUUUGACUCAUAUGAAUUCUAAACACUGUCUAUUAGUUUUUCAAAUGGUCCAAAGUCUCCACAACUGUUUCUAUGAAAAAAUACAAUAAAACCAUCAGUGGAAAAAACUGUAGAUGUGGCAAAUACCAUGGUACCAUAGCUUAAAAAUUCCUUUGAAAUUAAUCCAAAAAUAAGAUAUGAAUAGAUUUAACCUGCCAAUAGGGAGUUUUCUGUUAGAACAUAAUGUCUUCAAACAAAAUUCACUACGGGAGUCAUGGUUUACUUCUUCAAUGUGUUUUCGGGUUUUUUGCCAACAUUAUUGUUCCAUUAACUGUUAUCUUGGGCAAAAAUAUUUUUCUUUUGUACUGCUUAAAAAAAAUAUAUAUAUGACUUUUCCCUUUCACUGAGUUUCAAAGGCCAAAUUUAAACAAAUUAAAAAUGAAAUACUUUCAUAAACCUCUGCUUUAAAUGCUUCUGGUGAUUAAAUGGGCUGUCUUUUCUGUUUGUUUGUUUGCUUGUCUUAUAAGAAAAGAGUUGAACAGAUAUUUAGCUCCUUACAGGUUAUAUUGUGCCAGUUUGUGACAGAAGGCCACAGAUGCUACUCGACCUUUAUCAAAUAUGAAUGUAAACUGCUUUGUAACAUGGCUGUAAUGUUGUAUAUUCUAUAACUCUGUGUAAAUAUUGACUGUGUGAACGACUGUAACCAAGCACAAACUGUUGGCCUUUAACAGUGUCCAACAACAGAUGUACUAUUCUCAAGCACAAACGUGCCUCUGGACUCCUUCUGUGUGUCUGUGUCCU